RNAcentral lists this ribosomal RNA (465 nucleotides) under uncultured bacterium. RNAcentral describes it as "partial 16S ribosomal RNA". It matches the Rfam family "Bacterial small subunit ribosomal RNA", at positions 28 to 507 of the family's 1533-position model. The record is from RNAcentral.
GACGGACGCUGGCGGCGUGCUUAACACAUGCAAGUCGAACGGAAAGGCCCCCUUGUGGGGUACUCGAGUGGCGAACGGGUGAGUAACACGUGAGUAACCUACCCUUGACUUUGGGAUAACUUCAGGAAACUGGGGCUAAUACCGGAUAGGAGCUCCUGCUGCAUGGUGGGGGUUGGUAAGUUUCGGCGGUUGGGGAUGGACUCGCGGCUUAUCAGCUUGUUGGUGGGGUAGUGGCUCACCAAGGCUUUGACGGGUAGCCGGCCUGAGAGGGUGACCGGCCACAUUGGGACUGAGAUACGGCCCAGACGCCUACGGGAGGCAGCAGUGGGGAAUAUUGCACAAUGGGCGGAAGCCUGAUGCAGCAACGCCGCGUGCGGGAUGACGGCCUUCGGGUUGUAAACCGCUUUCGCCUGUGACGAAGCGUGAGUGACGGUAGUGGGUAAAGAAGCACCGGCUAACUACGUG